AAAUCGUCGCUCUCUUUUCCAAAAACCGCCCAACUAUACUUUGUCCUCCGCAUUAUCGGUCCCUCCCUCGCUUGCACGUUCCCUUCCAGAUUCCCAUGAUCGAGCCGAUGAACAGCUGGAGGGCGCUCCUUCUUCGCAUCGGUGACAAAUGCUCGGAGUACGGCGGCUCCGUCGACUACAGGGAGCAUAUCGAUACAUGUUGCAGCGUGCUUUGGCGGGAGUACGAGCAUUCUAGAGAUGACAUCUUAGAGCUCCUUCUUCAAUGUGCUGAGCAGCUGCCGCAUAAGAUUCCUUUUUAUGGAGUACUGGU
This is a long non-coding RNA of Phalaenopsis equestris, 310 nucleotides long. RefSeq lists it as uncharacterized. The transcript is spliced from 3 exons. NCBI's taxonomy places the organism in Eukaryota, Viridiplantae, Streptophyta, Magnoliopsida, Asparagales, Orchidaceae. The record is from RefSeq and is a predicted model, not a curated record.